This 253-nucleotide ribosomal RNA is filed under the name uncultured bacterium. RNAcentral's name for it is "partial 16S ribosomal RNA". It matches the Rfam family "Bacterial small subunit ribosomal RNA", at positions 524 to 776 of the family's 1533-position model. The record is from RNAcentral.
UACGAAGGGGGCUAGCGUUGUUCGGAAUUACUGGGCGUAAAGCGCACGUAGGCGGAUUUGUAAGUCAGGGGUGAAAUCCCGGGGCUCAACCUCGGAACUGCCUUUGAUACUGCGAGGCUCGAGCACGGAAGUGGUGAGUGGAAUUCCUAGUGUAGAGGUGAAAUUCGUACAUAUUAGGAAGAACACCAGUGGCGAAGGCGGCCCUCUGGUCCGUUGCUGACGCUGAGGUGCGAAAGCGUGGGGAGCAAACAGG